Molecule: long non-coding RNA, 1473 nt
Filed under: Homo sapiens (human)
Lineage: Eukaryota; Metazoa; Chordata; Mammalia; Primates; Hominidae
Description: long intergenic non-protein coding RNA 2346
Source: RNAcentral
AGAGUAGGACAGCACAUAUUUGCAGGCUAACACAAGCAUUUCUGAAAGGAAAUGCAUUUGGAAACUGAGUGGUAUUGAAGCAUCUAUUUUUCUUGCUAGCAGCACAAUCUGCCACCAGGAAGGUUUUAAACACUUUCCUGACAGAGAGUGCCUGCCUGAAUUUUUUGGUAAUUAAUCAUGCAUAAUACUUUAAAUUCCACACAGGCGGCUGGCUGAAAACCCUCCAGGGAUUGCUGCAUUUGCUAUCCGAAAGUCAACUCCUAUGCCUUCGGAGAGUGAGGAAGAUCAGAGAGGGGCAUUUUUGCCUGUUUUAAUGUCGCCAUCAGUCACCAGGCAAGUCUGCAAUCUUUGCUGCAUCCUUCCAUGGUAUCGGCACAAGCAAGGCUAAACCAGGAAAUAUAAACAGUUGUCACUAAGUAUCUUUGGAGGAUUAGUCCGAGGACCUCCCUCAAAUACCAAAAUCCAGGGAUGCUCAAUUCCGUGGUACAAAAUGAAGUAGCGUUUGCAUAUAACCAAGAGGAGGAAAAUGAGCUGCAGAAGGAUCAAAUGACCUGCCUGAGGUGCCCUAUCUGUUGGCACAGGCCAGAGCACAUGGUGGAUGCAGGGGCACCCCCUUCCCUUCUCCUCCCCUCCGGCUCUUUGCUGACAGGAUUCUCUCUUGCCUUCUCUGAUGGUACCUGUGCUACGUGCCACAUCCUUUCCCUCAAUGAAUUUCAGGCAGUGGAAGGGGCCGCAGAAGUUCCUUGACUCAUGAGGCGAGGCAUUCAGCGGCCUCGUGACACCUCCCAGGAUCUGCAGUCAUUGGGCUGCACUUGCCAAUAGCAACACCUGGCAAAAAUAGCUAAGAAGCAGAGCGGCCUGGGCUCAGGAGCUGAGCAACCCCUGACUGGCCAGAUGGAGACUGUGUUGAGCUCUGCCCAAGCCCUGUGAUCCUGGAAAACAGUGAAGUUAAGGAGCCAUCUGCAUUCUAGGGAAUGGCCCACUGCAAAAAAUAGCCUUCCUUAUAGGACGUAGAGGACUCAUGAUGUCCCCUCAUUUAUGAUGAGCCAACACACAGCCCUUCCAAAUUCCGAUUCUUUGCUUCAUAACUGAUGAGCUGUUUUGUUCCCACUGGUCAAUCGGAACAACAUUCUUGCUAACCAGAUUUUGGUUCAGCUCUUCUCCCUCCCCAUGUACCUGCCCUGUGUCCUGUCCUCAUCCUGAGCCAGCACACACCCCUCCUUAGUAGCUCCUCCUGCAGCAGGCUGACCUCGGACUCUCCCUGAUCCAUUGUCCAAAUAUAUCACCCUUUCACCCUACAUCCUCACACCCCAUUCUUUCUAGUUUUGUUCAUUCCUCCCUGUGAAAGAUGAACCCUCUUUGCCUAACCCCGGACCUGCUUGCAGACUGCUAUGAUGGCCAGAGUGUCCCCCCUACUGCAAGAGUCCCUUCUGUCCCUUGCAACAUCUUUUAAAUAAAAUCUCUCUUUACCAA